Molecule: unclassified non-coding RNA, 622 nt
Filed under: Hevea brasiliensis (rubber tree)
Lineage: Eukaryota; Viridiplantae; Streptophyta; Magnoliopsida; Malpighiales; Euphorbiaceae
Source: RNAcentral
AGAUCAAGUGGUUCAGAUCACCGACUGCAACAUAAUAUUAAACUAAAUAAGCUCAUAUUCAAUACAAUAACCAACAAGCAAGUAAUUACCCAAAUAACAUAUCAAAAAAGAAGCUUUAGAAUAACCACUGAAAUUAAGAAUAAGUACAAAAAGAGCUCAAUGAAUAACUAGUAUCUUGGCCACAUAUCAGAACUGCAAUGAACUAGAAAUGCAGAUAUUAGUCCUAGCUUUACUCUAAUUAGGAGGUAGUGCAAUGGUCAUCGUUUCCUAAAUUAUAAAUUACACAAAAAGUUGACAUGGAUUCAACACCCAAGGAAACUAUUGCUCAUUUAUUUCCUAAACUUGAACAUAAACAGCUUGAAUUUUUUAUAUUAAUCAAGACUAGCACAAUAGACACCAUGAAGAUCCAAGAUGGCUUGGGAAGAAACUCAGAUUUUCCACUCCAACACCAUGUUCUCUAACUAAUUAAGUUACCACCUGAGGUGCACCUUUAACAACACUGUGCGACUCACCCUACCGACAUGCUAAUAAAUGAAAUAAAACAUAAAUUUGCCCCAACCUAACUACGAAAAGUGCAUUGCAAUCUAAACCUUAUAUUUGGACUUAUUGCACCUUUCAAGGA